This 242-nucleotide ribosomal RNA is filed under the name uncultured bacterium. Its description in RNAcentral is "partial 16S ribosomal RNA". It matches the Rfam family "Bacterial small subunit ribosomal RNA", at positions 189 to 432 of the family's 1533-position model. The record is from RNAcentral.
AAGUCUUUACGGAGAAAGCUUUAUGCACCAUUGGAUGAGCCUGCACUUGAUUAGUUUGUUGGUAGGGUAAUGGCCUACCAAGACUGUGAUCAAUAGCUGAUUUGAGAGGAUGAUCAGCCACAUUGGGACUGAGACACGGCCCAAACUCCUACGGGAGGCAGCAGUGGGGAAUCUUGCACAAUGGAGGAAACUCUGAUGCAGCGAUGCCGCGUGAGUGAAGAAGGCCUUUGGGUUGUAAAGCU